AGUGGCGAACGGGUGAGUAAAGCAUCGGAACGUGCCCAGUAGUGGGGGAUAGCCCGGCGAAAGCCGGAUUAAUACCGCAUACGACCUAAGGGUGAAAGGGGGGGAUCGCAAGACCUCUCGCUAUUGGAGCGGCCGAUGUCAGAUUAGCUAGUUGGUGGGGUAAAGGCCUACCAAGGCGACGAUCUGUAGCUGGUCUGAGAGGACGACCAGCCACACUGGGACUGAGACACGGCCCAGACUCCUACGGGAGGCAGCAGUGGGGAAUUUUGGACAAUGGACGAAAGUCUGAUCCAGCCAUGCCGCGUGCGGGAAGAAGUGCCUUCGGGUUGUAAACCGUUUUUGUCAGGGAAAAAAUCUUCUGGGUUAAUAACUCGGGAGG
Molecule: ribosomal RNA, 379 nt
Filed under: uncultured marine bacterium
Lineage: Bacteria
Description: bacterial SSU rRNA
Rfam family: Bacterial small subunit ribosomal RNA
Source: RNAcentral